GAUGAACGCUGGCGGCGUGCCUAAUACAUGCAAGUCGAGCGAACAGACGAGGAGCUUGCUCCUCUGACGUUAGCGGCGGACGGGUGAGUAACACGUGGAUAACCUACCUAUAAGACUGGGAUAACUUCGGGAAACCGGAGCUAAUACCGGAUAAUAUAUUGAACCGCAUGGUUCAAUAGUGAAAGACGGUUUUGCUGUCACUUAUAGAUGGAUCCGCGCCGCAUUAGCUAGUUGGUGAGGUAACGGCUUACCAAGGCAACGAUGCGUAGCCGACCUGAGAGGGUGAUCGGCCACACUGGAACUGAAACACGGUCCAGACUCCUACGGGAGGCAGCAGUAGGGAAUCUUCCGCAAUGGGCGAAAGCCUGACGGAGCAACGCCGCGUGAGUGAUGAAGGUCUUCGGAUCGUAAAACUCUGUUAUUAGGGAAGAACAAAUGUGUAAGUAACUAUGCACGUCUUGACGGUACCUAAUCAGAAAGCCACGGCUAACUACGUG
This 497-nucleotide ribosomal RNA is filed under the name uncultured bacterium. RNAcentral's name for it is "partial 16S ribosomal RNA". It matches the Rfam family "Bacterial small subunit ribosomal RNA", at positions 28 to 507 of the family's 1533-position model. The record is from RNAcentral.